This 478-nucleotide ribosomal RNA is filed under the name uncultured bacterium. RNAcentral's name for it is "partial 16S ribosomal RNA". It matches the Rfam family "Bacterial small subunit ribosomal RNA", at positions 28 to 523 of the family's 1533-position model. The record is from RNAcentral.
GACGAACGCUGGCGGCGUGCUUAACACAUGCAAGUCGAACGGUAAGGCCCUUCGGGGUACACGAGUGGCGAACGGGUGAGUAACACGUGGGUGAUCUGCCCCGCACUUUGGGAUAAGCCUGGGAAACUGGGUCUAAUACCGGAUAGGACCACGGCCUGCAUGGGUUGUGGUGGAAAGCUUUUGCGGUGUGGGAUGGGCCCGCGGCCUAUCAGCUUGUUGGUGGGGUGAUGGGCUACCAAGGCGACGACGGGUAGCCGGCCUGAGAGGGUGUCCGGCCACACUGGGACUGAGAUACGGCCCAGACUCCUACGGGAGGCAGCAGUGGGGAAUAUUGCACAAUGGGCGCAAGCCUGAUGCAGCGACGCCGCGUGGGGGAUGACGGCCUUCGGGUUGUAAACCUCUUUCACCAGGGACGAAGCGCAAGUGACGGUACCUGGAGAAGAAGCACCGGCCAACUACGUGCCAGCCGCCGCGGUAA